RNAcentral lists this ribosomal RNA (404 nucleotides) under uncultured prokaryote. RNAcentral's name for it is "bacterial SSU rRNA". It matches the Rfam family "Bacterial small subunit ribosomal RNA", at positions 355 to 774 of the family's 1533-position model. The record is from RNAcentral.
UGAGGAAUCUUCCACAAUGGGCGAAAGCCUGAUGGAGCAACGCCGCGUGCAGGAUGAAGGCCUUCGGGUUGUAAACUGCUUUUAUUUGUGAAGAAUAUGACGGUAACAAAUGAAUAAGGAUCGGCUAACUACGUGCCAGCAGCCGCGGUCAUACGUAGGAUCCGAGCGUUAUCCGGAGUGACUGGGCGUAAAGAGUUGCGUAGGCGGUUAGUAAAGCGAAUAGUGAAAUCUGGUGGCUCAACCAUUCAGGCUAUUGUUCGAACUCACUAACUCGAGAGUGGUAGAGGUAACUGGAAUUUCUUGUGUAGGAGUGAAAUCCGUAGAUAUAAGAAGGAACACCAAUGGCGUAGGCAGGUUACUGGACCAUUUCUGACGCUAAGGCACGAAAGCGUGGGGAGCGAACC